AUUGAACGCUGGCGGCAGGCCUAACACAUGCAAGUCGAGCGGUAGCACAGAGAGCUUGCUCUCGGGUGACGAGCGGCGGACGGGUGAGUAAUGUCUGGGAAACUGCCUGAUGGAGGGGGAUAACUACUGGAAACGGUAGCUAAUACCGCAUAAUGUCGCAAGACCAAAGUGGGGGACCUUCGGGCCUCAUGCCAUCAGAUGUGCCCAGAUGGGAUUAGCUAGUAGGUGGGGUAACGGCUCACCUAGGCGACGAUCCCUAGCUGGUCUGAGAGGAUGACCAGCCACACUGGAACUGAGACACGGUCCAGACUCCUACGGGAGGCAGCAGUGGGGAAUAUUGCACAAUGGGCGCAAGCCUGAUGCAGCCAUGCCGCGUGUGUGAAGAAGGCCUUCGGGUUGUAUGGCACUUUCAGCGGGGAGGAAGGCGGUAAGGUUAAUAACCUUGUCGAUUGACGUUACCCGCAGAAGAAGCACCGGCUAACUCCGUGCCAGCAGCCGCGGUAAUACGGAGGGUGCAAGCGUUAAUCGGAAUUACUGGGCGUAAAGCGCACGCAGGCGGUCUGUCAAGUCGGAUGUGAAAUCCCCGGGCUCAACCUGGGAACUGCAUUCGAAACUGGCAGGCUAGAGUCUUGUAGAGGGGGGUAGAAUUCCAGGUGUAGCGGUGAAAUGCGUAGAGAUCUGGAGGAAUACCGGUGGCGAAGGCGGCCCCCUGGACAAAGACUGACGCUCAGGUGCGAAAGCGUGGGGAGCAAACAGGAUUAGGUACCCUGGUAGUCCACGCCGUAAACGAUGUCGAUUUGGAGGUUGUGCCCUUGAGGCGUGGCUUCCGGAGCUAACGCGUUAAAUCGACCGCCUGGGGAGUACGGCCGCAAGGUUAAAACUCAAAUGAAUUGACGGGGGCCCGCACAAGCGGUGGAGCAUGUGGUUUAAUUCGAUGCAACGCGAAGAACCUUACCUGGUCUUGACAUCCACAGAACUUUCCAGAGAUGGAUUGGUGCCUUCGGGAACUGUGAGACAGGUGCUGCAUGGCUGUCGUCAGCUCGUGUUGUGAAAUGUUGGGUUAAGUCCCGCAACGAGCGCAACCCUUAUCCUUUGUUGCCAGCGGUUAGGCCGGGAACUCAAAGGAGACUGCCAGUGAUAAACUGGAGGAAGGUGGGGAUGACGUCAAGUCAUCAUGGCCCUUACGACCAGGGCUACACACGUGCUACAAUGGCAUAUACAAAGAGAAGCGACCUCGCGAGAGCAAGCGGACCUCAUAAAGUAUGUCGUAGUCCGGAUUGGAGUCUGCAACUCGACUCCAUGAAGUCGGAAUCGCUAGUAAUCGUAGAUCAGAAUGCUACGGUGAAUACGUUCCCGGGCCUUGUACACACCGCCCGUCACACCAUGGGAGUGGGUUGCAAAAGAAGUAGGUAGCUUAACCUUCGGGAGGGCGCUUACCACUUUGUGAUUCAUGACUGGGGUGA
RNAcentral lists this ribosomal RNA (1463 nucleotides) under uncultured Klebsiella sp. Its description in RNAcentral is "bacterial SSU rRNA". It matches the Rfam family "Bacterial small subunit ribosomal RNA". The record is from RNAcentral. Lineage: Bacteria; Pseudomonadati; Pseudomonadota; Gammaproteobacteria; Enterobacterales; Enterobacteriaceae.